AAACCCCUGCUGUGUGCGUGAAUAGCUGUUAAGUUUUUGCCAACACAAAAAUUAAGGGAACCUAUCUCCGCCUAUGGCUUGUAAGCCCGCUUCUGUGGGACACAUUAAAUAUGCGGGAGGGCACCCACCUGCUAAGCAGGUUAAAACUACGGCAUCACGGCUCGGUGGGGUUUUU
Molecule: non-coding RNA, 175 nt
Filed under: Syntrophomonas wolfei subsp. wolfei str. Goettingen G311
Lineage: Bacteria; Bacillati; Bacillota; Clostridia; Eubacteriales; Syntrophomonadaceae
Description: Syntrophomonas wolfei subsp. wolfei str. Goettingen 6S / SsrS RNA
Rfam family: 6S / SsrS RNA
About the family: E. coli 6S RNA was the first non coding RNA to be sequenced, but its function was unknown until recently. It consists of 184 nucleotides that fold into an extended hairpin structure with a large single-stranded internal bulge. The 6S RNA specifically associates with RNA polymerase holoenzyme containing the sigma70 specificity factor.
Source: Rfam by way of RNAcentral